RNAcentral lists this ribosomal RNA (494 nucleotides) under uncultured bacterium. RNAcentral describes it as "partial 16S ribosomal RNA". It matches the Rfam family "Bacterial small subunit ribosomal RNA", at positions 28 to 507 of the family's 1533-position model. The record is from RNAcentral.
GACGAACGCUGGCGGCGUGCUUAACACAUGCAAGUCGAACGGUGAAGCGCCUUCCUUUUUGGUGGGUGUGGAUGAGUGGCGAACGGGUGAGUAACACGUGAGUAACCUGCCCCCUUCUUCUGGAUAACCGCAUGAAAGUGUGGCUAAUACGGGAUAUUCUGGGUCUGUCGCAUGAUGGGUCUGGGAAAGAUAUUGUUUCGGUGGGGGAUGGGCUCGCGGCCUAUCAGCUUGUUGGUGGGGUGAUGGCCUACCAAGGCGGUGACGGGUAGCCGGCCUGAGAGGGUGGACGGUCACACUGGAACUGAGACACGGCCCAGACUCCUACGGGAGGCAGCAGUGGGGAAUAGUGCACAAUGGGCGGAAGCCUGAUGCAGCGACGCCGCGUGAGGGAUGGAGGCCUGCGGGUUGUGAACCUCUUUCGCCAGUGAAGCAGACCUGCCUCGUUUGUGGGUGGGUUGACGGUAGCUGGAUAAGAAGCGCCGGCUAACUACGUG